Molecule: ribosomal RNA, 440 nt
Filed under: uncultured bacterium
Lineage: Bacteria
Description: bacterial SSU rRNA
Rfam family: Bacterial small subunit ribosomal RNA
Source: RNAcentral
UACGGAAGGCAGCAGUGGGGAAUAUUGCACAAUGGGCGCAAGCCUGAUGCAGCCAUGCCGCGUGUAUGAAGAAGGCCUUCGGGUUGUAAAGUACUUUCAGUCGUGAGGAAGGUGUUAAGGUUAAUAACCUUAGCAAUUGACGUUAGCGACAGAAGAAGCACCGGCUAACUCCGUGCCAGCAGCCGCGGUAAUACGGAGGGUGCGAGCGUUAAUCGGAAUUACUGGGCGUAAAGGGCACGCAGGCGGUUAAUUAAGUUGGAUGUGAAAUCCCCGGGCUUAACCUGGGAAUGGCAUUCAAGACUGGUUAGCUAGAGUCUUGUAGAGGGGGUAGAAUUCCGAUGUGUAGCGGUGAAAUGCGUAGAGAUGUGGAGGAAUACCGGUGGCGAAGGCGGCCCCUGGACAAAGGCUGACGCUCAUGUGCGAAAGCGUGGGGAGCAAAC